This 468-nucleotide ribosomal RNA is filed under the name uncultured bacterium. Its description in RNAcentral is "partial 16S ribosomal RNA". It matches the Rfam family "Bacterial small subunit ribosomal RNA", at positions 28 to 507 of the family's 1533-position model. The record is from RNAcentral.
GACGAACGCUGGCGGCGUGCUUAACACAUGCAAGUCGAACGGAAAGGCCCUGCUUUUGUGGGGUGCUCGAGUGGCGAACGGGUGAGUAACACGUGAGUAACCUGCCCUUGACUUUGGGAUAACUUCAGGAAACUGGGGCUAAUACCGGAUAGGAGCUCCUGCUGCAUGGUGGGGGUUGGAAAGUUUCGGCGGUUGGGGAUGGACUCGCGGCUUAUCGGCUUGUUGGUGGGGUAGUGGCUUACCAAGGCUUUGACGGGUAGCCGGCCUGAGAGGGGGACCGGCCACAUUGGGACUGAGAUACGGCCCAGACUCCUACGGGAGGCAGCAGUGGGGAAUAUUGCACAAUGGGCGGAAGCCUGAUGCAGCAACGCCGCGUGCGGGAUGACGGCCUUCGGGUUGUAAACCGCUUUCGCCUGUGACGAAGCGUGAGUGACGGUAAUGGGUAAAGAAGCACCGGCUAACUACGUG